This 3114-nucleotide long non-coding RNA is filed under the name Helianthus annuus (common sunflower). RNAcentral describes it as "hypothetical non coding rna". Lineage: Eukaryota; Viridiplantae; Streptophyta; Magnoliopsida; Asterales; Asteraceae. The record is from RNAcentral.
GUAGGAGCGACCAGGAGAAGAGGAGAGGGAGCCAACCCUAGUUCUUCAAGAAUCUUCAAAUUGAAGCUCAAUUCAGGCCCUAAAUCGAUGCAUGAACACAUAAAAACGAUCACCAAGCUUAGGGGAUCAUGAGUUUAACGCUUAACGAGCUAGGUGGGAGCUUGUGGAGCAAGCGGGUCAAACGAAUCAAGAACGAAAAGAAAAGCGUGGUUUGGAUGCAAGCUAAGUAAAAGCUUACACCCUUUUAUACUAUACAUCAGUUGCGUGUAAUGAAAAUGAAUAGAGAAAAAUCCGUAAUUGAAUUUUGAUGUUCCGACGUGAAUAAUAUGGGUCGGAACAAGUGAAAGUGAUGAAAACCAUGAUGGUUGUAAAAAAAAGGGGGUAAAAUAGUAAAUUAGUCACGAGUUUUGACACGAUAUUUGACCAAAAGUUGGUUUACAACAUAAAGGAUGUUUAGUAAUUUUUAUAGAUUUUUAUAAAGUCGUUUGACGAGGUUUUCGCGGAUGUUUUGUCAAUAAAUUAGUUGUUGACAGCAACAGUUCCGCUACUUGUAGAAAUUAUUUUGAGGUCUUAACCAUCGAGUUUUGACACGAUAUAUGACCAGAAGUUGGUUUACAACAUAAAGGAUGUUUAGUAAUUUUUGUAGAUUUUUAUAAAGUCGUUUGACGAGGUUUUCGCGGAUGUUUUGUCAAUAAAUUAGUUGUUGACAGCAACAGUUCCGCUACUUGAAGAAAUUAUUUCGAGGUCUUAACCAUCGAGUUUUGACACGAUAUUUGACCAGAAGUUGGUUUACAACAUAAAGGAUGUUUAGUAAUUUUUAUAGAUUUUUAUAAAGUCGUUUGCGAGGUUUUUGCGGAUGUUUUGUCAAUAAAUCAGUUGUUGACAGCAACAGUUCCGCUACUUGCAGAAAUUAUUUCGAGGUCUUAACCAUCGAGUUUUGACACGAUAUUUGACCAAAAGUUGGUUUACAAUAUAAAGGAUGUUUAGUAAUUUUUAUAGAUUUUUAUAAAGUCGUUUGACGAGGUUUUCGCGGAUGUUUUGUCAAUGAAUCAGUUGUUGACAGCAACAGUUCCGCUACUUGCAGAAAUUAUUCAAGGUCUUAACCAUUGAGUUUUGACACGAUAUUUGACCAGAAGUCGGUUUACAACAUAAAGGAUGUUUAGUACAUUUUAUAGAUUUUUUUAAAGUUGUUCGACGAGAUUUUCGCGGAUGUUUUGUCAAUAAAUUAGUUGUUGACAGCAACAGUUCCGUUACUUGCAGAAAUUAUUUCGAUGUCUUAACUAUCGAGUUUUGACAAGAUAUUUGGCCAGAAGUUGUUCAACAACAUAAAUAAUGUUUGGUAAGUUUUAUACAUUUUAGACAUAAGCUUUUUUGGGUCAAGUGCCUAUAAACGGGUCUUUUCCGUAAAACAACCAACCGAAAUGUAGAAUCCGGGAAAAUCGGUCAAAUAUACUAAAUCCACCACGAGUAUAGUUGUGGUGGAAUGUAAUGUCACAACCCCCGAUCCCUAAACCCCGGGAACGGCGGCCGCGAGCCAGUUUUGGUGGUAUCGCAUUAUUGUCUAAUUUGGCAGCGGAAAUUUUCAUCAGGACCGUAGUUAGGAAAUAUUAAAUCAGAGUAAACCACCACAUUUUUAUUUUUAUAAUCACAUGGGUAAAACCCAAGUUUUCAUUACAAACUGAUUUACAGGGAUAAAUCCCAUUUUAUUGAAGUAAACACUUUCUUUUAUUUAGGUAACUUUUAUAGCCACUUUUCUAAGCCUUCAGUGCUCUCCAGCUGGCUUUUAUGUGCUUCAUACUAAGUUACCUGAAACACGUGUUUAAAACAUUUUAUCAGCAAGAAAUACUGGUGAGUGAAUCCCAGUUUAAUCAAGUUUAAAUAGAAAGUCACAGUGAACAGUAUUGAGGGCGAUCCCGCAAUUACAUUUGUUUCCAAGUUAUAUCAAUUAUCACUCAUGGUACUGUCGAUACCCGACUUGUGGUAAUGUUACUCCAUAUCCAGGUUUCCUAUCCAGGUUGUAACCAAUUUUGUAUACAAAACCCCAACAUACCCGUGAUAAUUGUAUUCUUACAAAUACUCAAUAACUGUUAUUUGCAUAGAAAAGUAUGCAAGGUUUUGUAAAAACAUUUAACAAAAAGUGGAUCAACUCACAUUGCUAUUUUAGGUAUUUCCUUUGUGGCUUCCUGGUUAUAAUCUAAUUGAAUAAACAAUGCACACGCGUUAGCAUAAUAACCCAUUUUAACAUUAGUAAUACCCUCCCCGAGACGGUAUUCCAACGACUACGUCGGGUAGAACCACGACAGCCGUUACGGAACCCUAGAUCAAUCGAGCAGAGUAUCUAAUACGUAUCCAGGGGUUAUGAUACUUACAACGAGGCAGAGCUUCGCUAAUUAGGGGGUAUAAUACCCGCGUAUAAUGCCCACUAUUUAAUUUUGAGAGAGAAAGAAUUGAUUUUGAACGAAGCAGACUGAAGGCUCGACGAUCCAAUUUAUAGGGCUGAUACUGGACUCUCUCGCGGCCCGCGUAAAAUAUGGACUGGGCUUACGCGGCCCGCGUUGACUCCGGUCAACUGCGUAGCUUAGCCUGGUCACCAAGUAGACUCGACACGAUAUCGACACGUGUCAGCUCAGAGUUGCGCCACCAUUUGGAACACGCGCGGCCCGCGUAAACUAACGGGGAUCUUUACGCGGCCCGCUUGAACUUAAGAAAUCAAGGGAAUCCGGUAUAACCCUCAUACGGCCCGCGUGAAUGGUUGGGGUGGGUCUACGCGGCCCGCCUCAACUUACUAUUUCUUGUUUUUAAUUUAUAUAUUGUAUUUCGGGCUUGUUUUUCACAUACAGGGUGUAUUUUAGGAAGUGUAGGGGUGUCAAGGGUGUUUUAGGAGGGUUGUUAUAUUUUGGGUAUCACUCCUGAGUUAUUUAAUAACAUAUAUAGUGCACUCACAUUAAGUAUAGUAACCCAAUUACACUUUAUCCCUACGUCACGAGACAGAACCCCAACGAAUUUAGGCAGAGCCUUGACAUACGUUACGGGGCCCUACGUCAGUCGGACAGGGCAUCAGUGGUCAAGGGUUAAAAUACUUAAAACGGGGCAUAUCAUUAUAAAGUUAAUAUU